This 286-nucleotide unclassified non-coding RNA is filed under the name fungal sp. RNAcentral describes it as "partial internal transcribed spacer region". The record is from RNAcentral. Lineage: Eukaryota; Fungi.
CGGAACAAGGUUUCCGUAGGUAACCUGCGAAGGAUCAUUGACACGUAUCCAACCCCGUGAACUUUCAUGUAGCCCGUGAGCAGCAUCUGCAGAUUGUGAUAUUUUAUAGCUACGGUUGAGCGAUUGCAUCUAGUGACCUGGCAUCCCCUAAUCAGUGGAAUAAGGAUGGCGCAGUCACGAUCGCUGUAGGCCCACACGGUCACCGGUCUGCCCCUUUACGAUAACUACAGCCUAACUUCGCCGACCAAAAACCGAACAACUGUUAACAAUGGAUAUCUUGGUUCUC